Molecule: small nuclear RNA, 162 nt
Filed under: Cavia aperea (Brazilian guinea pig)
Lineage: Eukaryota; Metazoa; Chordata; Mammalia; Rodentia; Caviidae
Description: U1 spliceosomal RNA (ENSCAPG00000001967.1)
Rfam family: U1 spliceosomal RNA
About the family: U1 is a small nuclear RNA (snRNA) component of the spliceosome (involved in pre-mRNA splicing).
Source: RNAcentral
ACACUUACAUGGCAGGGAAGAGUCCAUGACCAAGAACGUGGUUUUCCCAGGGCAAGGCUUACUCACUGCUCUCCGGAUAUGCUGACCCCUGUGAUUCCCCAAACGUGGGAAACACGAUUGCAUAAUUUGUGGUAGGGGAGACUGUGUUCAUACUCCCCCUUA